UUCUUGGUCAUUUAGAGGAAGUAAAAGUCGUAACAAGGUUUCCGUAGGUGAACCUGCGGAAGGAUCAUUAAAGAAAUUUAAUAAUUUUGAAAAUGGAUUUUUUUGUUUUGGCAAGAGCAUGAGAGCUUUUACUGGGCAAGAAGACAAGAGAUGGAGAGUCCAGCCGGGCCUGCGCUUAAGUGCGCGGUCUUGCUAGGCUUGUAAGUUUCUUUCUUGCUAUUCCAAACGGUGAGAGAUUUCUGUGCUUUUGUUAUAGGACAAUUAAAACCGUUUCAAUACAACACACUGUGGAGUUUUCAUAUCUUUGCAACUUCUUCUUUGGUCAUUCGAGCAAUCGGGGCCCAGAGGUAACAAACACAAACAAUUUUAUCUAUUCAUUAAAUUUUUGUCAAAAACAAGAAUUUUCGUAACUGGAAAUUUUAAAAUAUUAAAAACUUUCAACAACGGAUCUCUUGGUUCUCGCAUCGAUGAAGAACGCAGCGAAAUGCGAUACGUAAUGUGAAUUGCAGAAUUCCGUGAAUCAUCGAAUCUUUGAACGCACAUUGCGCCCCUUGGUAUUCCAGGGGGCAUGCCUGUUUGAGCGUCAUUUCCUUCUCAAACAUUCUGUUUGGUAGUGAGUGAUACUCUCUGGAGUUAACUUGAAAUUGCUGGCCUUUUCAUUGGAUGUUUUUUUUCCAAAGAGAGGUUUCUCUGCGUGCUUGAGGUAUAAUGCAAGUACGGUCGUUUUAGGUUUUACCAACUGCAGCUAAUCUUUUUUUAUACUGAGCGUAUUGGAACGUUAUCGAUAAGAAGAGAGCGUCUAGGCGAACAAUGUUCUUAAAGUUUGACCUCAAAUCAAGGUAGGAGUACCCGCUGAACUUAAGCAUAUCAAUAAGCCGGAGGAA
This 884-nucleotide ribosomal RNA is filed under the name uncultured fungus. RNAcentral describes it as "eukaryotic LSU rRNA". The stretch from base 433 to 586 matches the Rfam family "5.8S ribosomal RNA". The record is from RNAcentral. Lineage: Eukaryota; Fungi.